GCGGUGGUGGCUCAGUGGUAGAGCACCUGCCUAACGCAUGUGCGAGGCACUGGGUUCAAUUCUCAGCACUGCA
Molecule: transfer RNA, 73 nt
Filed under: Ictidomys tridecemlineatus (thirteen-lined ground squirrel)
Lineage: Eukaryota; Metazoa; Chordata; Mammalia; Rodentia; Sciuridae
Also listed under: 1 other name
Description: Spermophilus tridecemlineatus (thirteen-lined ground squirrel) tRNA
Rfam family: tRNA
About the family: Transfer RNA (tRNA) molecules are approximately 80 nucleotides in length. Their secondary structure includes four short double-helical elements and three loops (D, anti-codon, and T loops).
Source: Rfam by way of RNAcentral